AACCCAUGAUGCCAUCAUUUCCUCAAUAAUUCCUUGAAUCUCUCCCAAGCCUCGUAUAAGGAUUCCAUAUCUAACUACAUGAAGUUGGUGAUGUCAUUACAAGGUC
Mangifera indica (mango) is the source of this 106-nucleotide small nucleolar RNA. The record is from RefSeq and is a predicted model, not a curated record. Lineage: Eukaryota; Viridiplantae; Streptophyta; Magnoliopsida; Sapindales; Anacardiaceae.